RNAcentral lists this unclassified non-coding RNA (664 nucleotides) under Hevea brasiliensis (rubber tree). Lineage: Eukaryota; Viridiplantae; Streptophyta; Magnoliopsida; Malpighiales; Euphorbiaceae. The record is from RNAcentral.
UUUAUUUAUUUAUUUAUUUUUUGAAUUGUUUAUGGUAUGAAUUGAAACCGUGGUGUGAGGAUCUGAACCUAGUGUCUGAGUCUUAUCUGUUUUAAUGCCACGAGUGCCUUCUUCAAGUUGUUUAGGAUAAUUGGUAGGUAGGAUAGUUGGAAUCAGAAGUUGUGAGAGCUGACAAUCUCGAAUCUUUUUACCUGUAGUAAUCUUAUUCAUAAAGAUCACGCUUUUGCCAUCCCUACAAUUUAGUCUUUGUUUGCCAUUUGAAGAUUCCAAAAAGAUGCUUUAUACAGGGAGUGGUGCAUUGGAUGGUGGUGCCUUAAGAAGUCAGUAUGUCUCUUGGCGACCUAUUGGAGGCUUUUAGCAUUGGUUGGCUUUAGUUUUCAGGAUGGUUGGCUCUAGUUUUCCCUCUUGAUGUUUUGAAAGUCGAGGUUAGAGAUGGCUGGCUCAUUACUUUGAUUUUGUGAAGACAUAUGGUGGUGGGGAUGAUGGUACUCUUAUGGAAGUGCAUUUUUCACUUUACAAAGUGUUCAACUAGGCUUUGGUGAGAGAGCAAAUGGUGUACGAGGCUAGUGUGAUUAAUUGGAACCAUGGAUUUAAAUUGUAGUCAUGGGUAAUGGAACAGGUAUGUAACAACUGUAAUGUAACAGCAACGGCAUAUUGCUAUGCA